This 326-nucleotide long non-coding RNA is filed under the name Capsella rubella. RNAcentral's name for it is "long non-coding RNA (CRUB_LNC002452)". Lineage: Eukaryota; Viridiplantae; Streptophyta; Magnoliopsida; Brassicales; Brassicaceae. The record is from RNAcentral.
AAACGAACUAAAUAAAAUAAUAGGAGAAAAUGUGUAAAACACUAAAAAUAUGUUAUGGGAUAUCUUCGGUAGUCAAAGUUUCAAAGCUUUUGAGAACUUAUAUUUCAAUCAGACCAAACAAAAUGAGCACAUAAAGUUGUGUAUAACCAAUAAUGUUGUCAAAACAAUACAUUUUUUUUUUCUUUUUGCAUGUUCUAUAAAAGACCAUGCAUGCAUUAUUAAGGUUUAAAAAGCUUUUGCAUGUUCCUCAAAGCAAAGACUCUAAAAGUUCGUGAUGGUAAUGGAUAUAUCUGCAAAGCUCUUCAUAUUCAUUAACUAGAAGUAGA